Long non-coding RNA from Ziziphus jujuba (common jujube), 594 nucleotides. RefSeq lists it as uncharacterized. The record is from RefSeq and is a predicted model, not a curated record. NCBI's taxonomy places the organism in Eukaryota, Viridiplantae, Streptophyta, Magnoliopsida, Rosales, Rhamnaceae. The transcript is spliced from 2 exons.
GCCCCAAACAGAUUCAGAACGGCCAGUGGGCUGCUUUCCUCCAUGUGGCCGGAUCAUCCGCUGCCGUUUUGUACCGCGGCCUCAACUACGAUAAAAGUGGUGGAGAAGAAUAUGUCUGGUUGCACGCUUGGUACAAUGUCCCCCAGCGACCACAGAAAAUUCGUUUACACUGAGAUUCGAAAACCUGGGCAUUACGAUGCUGCUGAUAUUUGGGACUGGGUCCACCCCUUGAUCAAAUGUGAUUCUUACAAGGACACUUCGUUUGGAUGCUACUCAGAUGCGUCCAUUACCCAAAACAACCCUUACAAAUAUUCUGGAACAAUGACCUUUCAGUUCAUCCCUUGAUUCACUUCCAUGCAAUAUUAUAUAUAUAUAUAUAAAAUAAACUAUAUAUAUUGACAAUCAUGCCGAUAUAUAUGGAUACCCCUAUUACGUCUGUCUGUCUGUGUAUCUUUAAGAUUAAGGCUGCAAUUGCAAAUGCACUGUGCAUGCAGCAUUAAUUUUUUAUAGGCUUGGCUAUGUACUCUUGUGCUAUAUCUUGCUGGGAUUAUUUCUCUGCAAGAAGUUAAUAUAUUAUCACAAUAAUGUUUUGUA